UACGUAGGGGGCAAGCGUUGUCCGGAAUCAUUGGGCGUAAAGAGCGUGUAGGCGGCUCGAUAAGUCCGCCGUGAAAGUCCAGGGCUCAACCCUGGAAUGCCGGUGGAAACUGUCGGGCUGGAGUCCGGAAGAGGCGAGUGGAAUUCCUGGUGUAGCGGUGAAAUGCGCAGAUAUCAGGAGGAACACCAAUGGCGAAGGCAGCGCGCUGGGACGGUACUGACGCUGAGACGCGAAAGCGUGGGGAGCAAACAGG
RNAcentral lists this ribosomal RNA (253 nucleotides) under uncultured bacterium. RNAcentral's name for it is "partial 16S ribosomal RNA". It matches the Rfam family "Bacterial small subunit ribosomal RNA", at positions 524 to 776 of the family's 1533-position model. The record is from RNAcentral.